Molecule: ribosomal RNA, 342 nt
Filed under: uncultured bacterium
Lineage: Bacteria
Description: bacterial SSU rRNA
Rfam family: Bacterial small subunit ribosomal RNA
Source: RNAcentral
GACGAACGCUGGCGGCGUGCCUAAUACAUGCAAGUCGAGCGGAAAUUUUAUUGGUGCUUGCACCUUUAAAAUUUUAGCGGCGGACGGGUGAGUAACACGUGGGUAACCUACCUUAUAGAUUGGGAUAACUCCGGGAAACCGGGGCUAAUACCGAAUAAUACUUUUUAACACAUGUUUUGAAGUUGAAAGACGGUCUUGCUGUCACUAUAAGAUGGACCCGCGCGCAUUAGCUAGUUGGUGAGGUAACGGCUCACCAAGGCAACGAUGCGUAGCCGACCUGAGAGGGUGAUCGGCCACACUGGGACUGAGACACGGCCCAGACUCCUACGGGAGGCAGCAGUA